This is a long non-coding RNA of Oncorhynchus tshawytscha (Chinook salmon), 1358 nucleotides long. The record is from Ensembl. NCBI's taxonomy places the organism in Eukaryota, Metazoa, Chordata, Actinopteri, Salmoniformes, Salmonidae.
CACAACUUCAACACUUACAAUGACACCACAUCGAGUUCUCUGGGCGUCCCCUACAACUACGGUUCCAUGAUGCACUACAGUAAGACAGCGUUAUGGCACAGAGCCCAAUAUCUUCACCAAGAGCCCUGCCUUCGCCGACGUCGUCGGACAGUGCAUGGAGUUCAUCGACAAUGACCUCGAUAAGGUCCGGAGCCUCUACGACUGCACACGUUCCACCACUUUCUUGGACACCUGUCUUUGAGAGGGAGAACAUCUGUGGUAUGGCCCGGAAGACCAGGCAGACCGGAGCACGGUGACCCAGGCCCCCAGCGGACCCACCACGGAGUAAUCCAACAUGGGCAAAUGCACCGGCUUGGGCUACUUCAUGCACUUGAGCACUGCCACAGGCAAACCAGCAGACACUGCCAGGCUGGACAGCAGACUACUCUACCUUGAGAGGCUACCAGUGCCUGCAGUUCUUCCUCUAGAACAGGGGGACCGCCAAUGAUCAGCUGGUUUGAGAAGACUUCAGAGCUGUUCUUCUGGGGAGACCCUUGUAAGGUGGGCAUUGAGGUGUCAGAGGCGGAUGGGACCAAAUAUUUCCGUGGGCCGGGCACCGGGACACCCGUGUACCAGGCCCAUGGCAGGGCCAAGAGCAGGGAUUUCAUCAAUGGGGGAGACACCAUCUUCAUGCUCACCAUGGAGGGUUGUGGUGGUCCCCCUAUUUACCAACACGUCCACAUCAUAUGAAGAUGUGUCCCAUCUGACGGUGAUCCAACCCGUCCCCUCCUCUACCGUGCCACCCGUCACCAUGGUUACCACCGCCAUGCCGCACUCUGACCCCUGCACUAACAUCACGUGUGGGAAUGAGGGAGUCUGUGUAUUGGAUGCUGGAAAGCUGUUUGCAGGGCGUUUUACUGUCGGGGCUUGUAGCUUACACAGUACAAUGGUCUGUACUGUAUUUAUUGUAAUGUAUUGUAUUUACAAACACACAAACAGCCCAGCAGGCAAAACUGGUUAAGAUGUUAUAAUGACGAGUUUGUGGUUAUAACGGCGUUAUUUCAACUAGUUUUGCCUGUGUAGUGACUCCCUCUUUCUCUCUCCACCCUCUAUAUUGGUGUGUCUUGUUAGAUCUCUCUUUCGCUCGAUGUGCAGUGGGUAGAUUGUUGACUCUCACUCAUUCUCUUCCUCUCUGUCCAGGUGUGCUGUGGGUGGAUUGUUCUUUCACUCAUCCUCUUCCACUCCCUAUCCAGAUGUGCAGUGGGUAGAUUGUUGACUCUCUCUCACUCGUUCUCUUCCUCUCUGUCCAGGUGUGCUGUGGGUGGAUUGUUCUUUCACUCAUCCUCUUCCACUCCCUAUCCAGAUGUGCAGUGGGUAGU